CCUACGGGUGGCAGCAGUGAGGAAUAUUGGUCAAUGGGAGAGAUCCUGAACCAGCCAAGCCGCGUGAGGGAAGACGGCUCUAUGGGUUGUAAACCCCUUUUGUCGGAGAACAAAACCCGGGACGUGUCCCGGACUGCGCGUAUCCGGCGAAAAAGCAUCCGCCAACUCCGGGCCAGCAGCCGCGGUAAUACGGGGGGUGCAAGCCUUAUCCGGAUUUAUUGGGUUGAAAGGGUGCGUAGGCUGUGAGGUAAGUCAGCGGUGAAAUGCCCCCGCUCAACGGGGUGAAGUGCCAUUGAUACUGCCUUGCUAGAAUGCGGAUGCGGUGAGAGGAAUGUGUGGUGUAGCGGUGAAAUGCAUAGAUAUCACGCAGAACACCGGUUGCGAAGGCAUCUCACGAGUCCGCGAUUGACGCUGAUGCACGAAAGCGUGGGUAGCAAACAGGAUUAGAUACCCUGGUAGUC
RNAcentral lists this ribosomal RNA (461 nucleotides) under uncultured bacterium. Its description in RNAcentral is "partial 16S ribosomal RNA". It matches the Rfam family "Bacterial small subunit ribosomal RNA", at positions 338 to 795 of the family's 1533-position model. The record is from RNAcentral.